This 445-nucleotide ribosomal RNA is filed under the name uncultured bacterium. RNAcentral describes it as "bacterial SSU rRNA". It matches the Rfam family "Bacterial small subunit ribosomal RNA", at positions 29 to 521 of the family's 1533-position model. The record is from RNAcentral.
AACGAACGCUGGCGGCAGGCCUAACACAUGCAAGUCGAGCGCCCAGCAAUGGGAGCGGCAGACGGGUGAGUAACACGUGGGAACCUUCCCUAUAGUACGGAAUAGCCCAGGGAAACUUGGAGUAAUACCGCAUACGCCCGAGAGGGGAAAGAUUUAUCGCUAUAGGAUGGGCCCGCGUAGGAUUAGCUAGUUGGUGAGGUAAUGGCUCACCAAGGCGACGAUCCUUAGCUGGUCUGAGAGGACGACCAGCCACACUGGGACUGAGACACGGCCCAGACUCCUACGGGAGGCAGCAGUGGGGAAUAUUGGACAAUGGGCGCAAGCCUGAUCCAGCCAUGCCGCGUGAGUGAUGAAGGCCUUAGGGUUGUAAAGCUCUUUUGCCGGGGACGAUAAUGACGGUACCCGGAGAAUAAGUCCCGGCUAACUUCGUGCCAGCAGCCGCGGU